ACGGCUCAGUAACACGUGGACAACCUACCCUGAGGUCGGGGAUAAACCCGGGAAACUGGGUAUAAUACCCGAUAGAUCUAGAUCGCUGGAAUGCUUUUAGGUCUAAAGUUCCGACGCCUCAGGAUGGGUCUGCGGCCUAUCAGGGUAGUAGUGGGUGUAAAGUACCUACUAGCCUACGACGGGUACGGGUUGUGAGAGCAAGAGCCCGGAGAUGGAUUCUGAGACACGAAUCCAGGCCCUACGGGGUGCAGCAGGCGCGAAACCUUUACAAUGCUGGCAACAGCGAUAAGGGGACCUCGAGUGCUACGAUACAAUCGUGGCUGUCUAGUUGCCUAAAAAGCAAUUGAUAGCAAGGGCCGGGCAAGGCCGGUGCCAGCCGCCGCGGUAACACCGGCGGCUCGAGUGGUAACCGCUAUUAUUGGGUCUAAAGGGUCUGUAGCCGGCUUAGUUAGUCUCUUGAGAAAUCUGGCCGCUCAACGGUCAGGCGUUCAGGGGAUACUGCUAAAGCUCGAGACCGGGAGAGGUGAGAGGUACUUCAGGGGUAGGGGUGAAAUCUUGUAAUCCUUGAAGGACCACCAGUGGCGAAGGCGUCUCACCAGAACGGAUCUGACGGCAAGGGACGAAAGCUAGGGGCACGAACCGGAUUAGAUACCCGGGUAGUCCUAGCCGUAAACGAUACUCGCUAGGUGUCGGCCACGGUGCGACCGUGGUCGGUGCCGUAGGGAAGCCGUGAAGCGAGCCACCUGGGAAGUACGGCCGCAAGGCUGAAACUCAAAGGAAUUGGCGGGGGAGCAC
This 795-nucleotide ribosomal RNA is filed under the name uncultured archaeon. RNAcentral's name for it is "bacterial SSU rRNA". It matches the Rfam family "Archaeal small subunit ribosomal RNA", at positions 85 to 879 of the family's 1478-position model. The record is from RNAcentral.